Molecule: ribosomal RNA, 435 nt
Filed under: uncultured bacterium
Lineage: Bacteria
Description: partial 16S ribosomal RNA
Rfam family: Bacterial small subunit ribosomal RNA
Source: RNAcentral
GAUGAACGCUGGCGGUAUGCUUAACACAUGCAAGUCGAACGGACUCAUCGGAGUUUGUGUCGGCCGGCUUUGUAACGCGUCAGAAUCUUGCCUUGGGUUCGGCCCACCUACUGGAAACGGUGGCUAAUACCGGAUGUGCCCAGAUGCAAAAUAGUAAUUGCCUGAACAUGAGUUCGGGUCUGAUUAGGUAUUUGCUGUGGUAAAGACUCACCAAGGCAGCGAUCAGUCGCUGGUGUGAGAUGAUGACCGGCCACGCUGGGUAUGAGACACGGCCCUGAGUACUACGAGAGGCAGGAGGGGGGAAUGUUCCGCAAAGGGCGAGAGACUGACGAAGCACUACGGCGUGAGGAAAGAAGUCUUUUGGGGUGAAAACCUGUUUUCGUAGGGAUGAACAAAAUGACGGUACCUAAGCAGUCAGCAACGGCUAACUACGUG